GAUCUCUUUGAGGCCCGUUAUCGGAAUGAGAACAAUUCAAAUCCUUUAACGAGGAUCUAGCGGAGGGCAAGUCUGGUGCCAGCAGCCGCGGUAAUUCCAGCUCCGCAGGUGUAUAUCUAUGCUGCUGCGGUUAAAAAGCUCGUAGUUGGAUCUGCGUGCUCGGAACUGGUUGGCUCACUGAGUUCAAACUGGUCUCCGGCGCUUUAUUGGCUGGUUUUCCCUUGAUGCUCUUAACCGGGUGUCUUGGGUGGCUAGCACGUUUACUUUGAAAAAAUUAGAGUGCUCAAUACAGGCGUAAAGCCUUGAAUAGUGGUGCAUGGAAUAAUAGAAUAGGACCUCGGCUCUAUUUUGUUGGUUUUCGGAACGCGAGGUAAUGAUUAAGAGGGACAGACGGGGGCAUUCGUAUUGCGACGUUAGAGGUGAAAUUCUUGGAUCGUCGCAAGACGGACGACUGCGAAAGCAUUUGCCAAGAAUGUUUUCAUUAAUCAAGAACGAAAGUUAGAGGUUCGAAGGCGAUCAGAUACCGCCCUAGUUCUAACCGUAAACGAUGCCAACUAGCGAUUCGCAGGCGUUAAACAACGACCUUGCGGGCAGCUUCCCGGAAACGAAAGUGUUCGGGUUCCGGGGGAAGCAUGGUUGCAAAGCUGAAACUUAAAGGAAUUGACGGAAGGGCACCACCAGGAGUGGAGCCUGCGGCUUAAUUUGACCCAACACGGGAAAACUCACCCGGCCCGGACACCGUAAGGAUUGACAGAUUGAGAGCUCUUUCUUGAUUCGGUGGGUGGUGGUGCAUGGCCGUUCUUAGUUGGUGGAGCGAUUUGUCUGGUUUAUUCCGACAACGAACGAGACUCUGGCCUACUAAAUAGUGGGCGGAUUCUUUCUGUCCGCAACACUUCUUAGAGGGACAAGCGGUGUUCAGCCGCACGAGAUUGAGCAAUAACAGGUCUGUGAUGUCCUUAGAUGUCCGGGGCUGCACGCGCGCUACACUGAAGGAAUCAGCGUGCUUUCUGACCUUGCCCGAAAGGGCUGGGUAACCCGAUGAAAAUCCUUCGUGAUUGGGAUAGGGACUUGCAAUUAUUUCCCUUGAACGAGGAAUUCCCAGUAAGUGUGGGUCAUAAGCUCGCGUUGAUUACGUCCCUGCCCUUUGUACACACCGCCCGUCGCUGCCCGGAACUGAGCCGUUUCGAGAAGAACAGGGACCGUCGUUGAAGGGCCUUAACGGGCUUUUCUCUGAUAGAAACUGUU
RNAcentral lists this ribosomal RNA (1245 nucleotides) under metagenome. RNAcentral's name for it is "SSU rRNA". It matches the Rfam family "Eukaryotic small subunit ribosomal RNA", at positions 488 to 1758 of the family's 1831-position model. The record is from RNAcentral.